GCUUGUCUCAAAGAUUAAGCCAUGCAUGUCUAAGUACAAGCCUCAGUAAGGUGAAACCGCGAAUGGCUCAUUAAAUCACACCUAAUCUACUGGAAAGUUACUAGUUACUUGGAUAACUGAGGUAAUUCUUGAGCUAAUACAUGCGAAAAAUCUCGACUCACGGAGAGAUGUAUUUAUUAGAUUAAAAACCAAUGCCCUUCGGGGCUCUCUGGUGAUUCAUAAUAACUUCUCGAAUCGCACGGCCUUGCGCCGGCGAUGGUUCAUUCAAAUUUCUGCCCUAUCAACUUUCGACGGCUGGGUCUUGGCCAGCCGUGGUGACAACGGGUAACGGAGGGUUAGGGCUCGACCCCGGAGAAGGAGCCUGAGAAACGGCUACUACAUCCAAGGAAGGCAGCAGG
This 398-nucleotide ribosomal RNA is filed under the name uncultured Sordariomycetes. Its description in RNAcentral is "partial small subunit ribosomal RNA". It matches the Rfam family "Eukaryotic small subunit ribosomal RNA", at positions 30 to 432 of the family's 1831-position model. The record is from RNAcentral. Lineage: Eukaryota; Fungi; Ascomycota; Sordariomycetes.